This 29-nucleotide non-coding RNA is filed under the name Rattus norvegicus (Norway rat). The record is from RNAcentral. Lineage: Eukaryota; Metazoa; Chordata; Mammalia; Rodentia; Muridae.
UGAGAGGGUGAUGAAGGUUUCCUUGUCCA